CUGAAUUUAGCGGCGGACGGGUGAGUAAUACUUAGGAAUCUGCCUAUUAGUGGGGGACAACAUUUCGAAAGGAAUGCUAAUACCGCAUACGCCCUACGGGGGAAAGCAGGGGCUCUUCGGACCUUGCGCUAAUAGAUGAGCCUAAGUCAGAUUAGCUAGUUGGUGGGGUAAAGGCCUACCAAGGCGACGAUCUGUAACGGGUCUGAGAGGAUGAUCCGUCACACUGGGACUGAGACACGGCCCAGACUCCUACGGGAGGCAGCAGUGGGGAAUAUUGGACAAUGGGGGGAACCCUGAUCCAGCCAUGCCGCGUGUGUGAAGAAGGCCUUUUGGUUGUAAAGCACUUUAAGCGAGGAGGAGGCUCCUAUAGAUAAUACCUAUAGAGAGUGGACGUUACUCGCAGAAUAAGCACCGGCUAACUCUGUGCCAGCAGCCGCGGUAAUACAGAGGGUGCAAGCGUUAAUCGGAUUUACUGGGCGUAAAGCGUACGUAGGUGGUCUUUUAAGUCGGAUGUGAAAUCCCUGAGCUUAACUUAGGA
RNAcentral lists this ribosomal RNA (538 nucleotides) under uncultured Acinetobacter sp. RNAcentral describes it as "bacterial SSU rRNA". It matches the Rfam family "Bacterial small subunit ribosomal RNA", at positions 86 to 619 of the family's 1533-position model. Lineage: Bacteria; Pseudomonadati; Pseudomonadota; Gammaproteobacteria; Moraxellales; Moraxellaceae. The record is from RNAcentral.